Podarcis lilfordi (Lilford's wall lizard) is the source of this 3419-nucleotide non-coding RNA. Lineage: Eukaryota; Metazoa; Chordata; Lepidosauria; Squamata; Lacertidae. The record is from the annotation of a GenBank genome assembly.
GGGGGCACAUUUAGCUCAGCUCUGCUUUUAAGCUGGCUGCUUGCACACUCUGAUGUGCAGGAGGAAGCAGAUCUGUAUCUGGGACCACCAGAUGCAACUGCACAGCCCAUUGCCCGUGACUUGAACUAGAGGGGAGGGAGCAGGAUGCUACGUAGACCAUCAUAUUACCAUGCAGAAAGAAACAUGUUUCUAAUGGAAUUUUUUCAGAGACAUAAUUUCACAGAGUAUGUGGAAAGAGAUCUUUUAUUUCACAGUGCUCCCAUGCCAUAGUGCUCCUCCCUCAGUUGUUUUGCACGGGGCGUGACAUUCCCACCCAGAUUUCCCCCGUGGCCCUCCGUAUUCAUAGGCAGGAAUGGGCAUAACUUAAGUGUCUGUUUAGUAUGGAACGGAAGGGUGCUCUCUGCCAAGGUAAACAUUAUGAAUAGAGAAGUGAGGUUGGCCUCCAGGCAGAUUAUCUUAAGGAUAGCCUCGGCUCUUGCUUUCGGUUCAUGUCACAAGCACAGUUUCUGGACAACGAGAAAAAGAAAAAAGUGCAUCCACUUUCCUCUCCCCCUUCCUCGGCUUGCCACCACACCACAGCUAUUUAUUUUACCCCACCAUUAUUCUGCUUCUUCCCUACCCCACCCCCCCUGUGAUUUGCACCUGGACCAGGUCCCAAAAGCCUAUCAGGAUUUGGGCAACAUAUCUUGCUACAGCUCAUAAGAAGGGGAGGGUUUCCCUCCCAAUUUUGCCCAUGAGACUGGCAGGAUAUGUGUUGGAGUAGCCUGCAUUCCUCUUUGCUCUGGGUUUCUAUCAGCCCCAGGCUAAAAAUAAUAAUAAUUAAAUAACUUAAGAUGGGCUCACAGGCUAUAAAUGUUUACAUUGCUGGAUCAUGUACUGAAUUUAAUAUAUUUUGACUCUGUAGGAUUCUUUUUGUUUGUUUGUAACCAUUAUUGCAAUGAUGCUCUUUUUUUUUUACUACUAUAAUUAUUUUGGUCCAGCUCCUGAGAUCAUUUUAAUAAUUUCAGCCUCAGUUUCCCAAAUGGAUUGGACGAGAACACUAAUCAUAAGCGGAGCAGCGAGUACGGUGCCAGCAGUCUGGCGUACACAGAAGCGGCAGGCUGUCAAGUAUUUGUUGCUUGUGGAGCAAGGGUGUGUGAGUGAGUUUGUUCCCUGAGGAUUAGGAACCCUACUGCCUCCAUUUAAUCUUCUGUGAAUGCGCAUGCGCACACAUGCACACCCUUGAUCUCGAAGUGAUGGAGAGAAAGGAAGGAGAACCUGGAAGGAAGAUAGAAGUGGGAAAUGCCUGCUCUCACUCUGUACAACCCAAAACCUGUACAGUGCAAAUCAAAUCAUGUCCCCCAGUGUUAAUGCAAGGAGACUGAGAGAUGAAAAAGGCCCCCCUCCCAGUGUACCCCAAGCUGUGACCCCAAUUUUGUGGAGGGCAGGAGGAGAGGCUAGCCCCACUCAUAUGCUACCUGGCCACACAGCAGGCUCAACCAGAGAGACCCCUCCCCCAGCAGCAGGAAGCGCCCCUCUUUGCUCAGCGAUCUUUGUGGUGUGUUAACCGUGAGGUCAUCGUGUGUGCAAUGGAGUCAUAUUUGCUAAGCGUCGUGUUUUACCGUCUUUUUUUGUGGAAGUACAGUGCAGCGCUGAGGGGCUGGGGAGUCGAGCGAGGGCUGGGCAGGGGCGGGCCGAGGAGCUGAUCGCAGCCGCUUAGGAAGGCAGUGGCCUUGGAGGGAUGGUGGUGAUGAGCAGGGAGACGAAGGAGAGCAACUGAGGUGGCAGAAAACAAAACUGAAAUCAUGGGAGUGUGUGGGAUAGUUCACUGGUUGCCUUGGAAAUUGAGAUUUAUUUAUUUACUGCCACCCACCCACCUGGGCUUCUAUGGGGAUACUCAGCCUGUAGCCCUGACUUGAGGGUCAGCGGCCAAGCUAGCCAACAGAAGCAGCUUUGACCAUCCCAAUGGUACAUCAGUUGAUCUGGCCUCUGCAGGCUUUCCUUGUCCCCUUCCCAUUAAGUCACUGAAACCCGUGAAUGCGGCUGACAAUCCUGAGACCACCCACGUCUCGCCUGCCUGCCUUGGAAUAGCUUCAUGAAGCAAGUGCCAAGCAGAGGAGACGUCUUGUGUGCCACAUGGCCGAGAAUGCAUGUGGCAUGGCCCAUGUCCUUGUAGCUUCAGGCACUGUGGCACCCAUCAGCCAUAACAGGGAAGCAAGGCGUGCCCUCACUUUUCCAUUAACACUUGGUGCUCCAGUGACUUAGGAUUUCUGGUCAUCCCCAGAGUGAACACACUGGUGCUGAUGCACGUGACUAAGUUAGGUCUGUUGACUUUGGUAGCUCUACUCUGAGCAGGGCUUGGUUGGACACAAUCCUCAGCUAAAACGUCAAACAAUUCUGCUGGAAACAAUUCAUUAAACCGAGCCUACAUUUGGGGGUGCUCCUCCCUCUGUUUUCUUUUAAUUCGCCUUCUUUUUGGGUGGGAGGAAGGACAGAUAGUGCUCAAAACUGAAAGAUGAUUAUGCUUUCCACUGUUGUACUUGUGUCACCAAUCCGCUGCUGAUUCAGAAAGGCCAAAAUGCCACUGGCCCGCAUGGGUGUGAUUCCAUCUCCCCAGGGAAGACAAGCUUCUGCGCUGAUGUGAGUAAGGAGCGUUCCGUGAUGACUCUUACUCCCUUUCCAACUUCCUGAAAACUCUUUGCCCAACUCCUUGUGUAAUACAGCCAGUGCUUAGCCAAGGUUCAACUGAGGAAAUUAUGAAGUAAUUUUUUUUAAAAAAAGAAAAGGGUGCUACAGGGCAUGUGCAAAAUCCUUCUCCCUCAUAUAACCCAGUAUCAUGGAAUAGGAGCAGAACUUCCAAGCCAAGCAAGGCCAGCUGGAUCCUCAGAAAAUCCUCUCUUUUUUUAGACUGAAAGCAGAGCUGCUUUGUGUGAAUGAACAGGAGUGGACCUUGCUAUACGGUCGUGUAGUCACGGUGUUUUGUGGAUCCUGAGAUCAGGUUGUGUGACUCCAACAUUUCCAAGUACAAAGCUGCCCUUGGCUCAACCCACCAUAUCAGGGUCUGUGGGGUGCUUGUAUUUUAAAAAUAAACAAUUACACUGUAAGGAGCAAUUGGCUGCAGGCAGGGGGUUUCUUCCAGCAGCACCUCAGUUUCAGCAAUCAUGACAGUGCAUUCAGCAGGCAGGUGAGUCAUGAACCAAGCACAGUUGUAGUGCAUCAGCAAUGCCCUGUGCUUUGCAACUGUGCCCUCAUUUCCAGACCUGUGCAGGAGAGCUGAUUCACGUGAUCUGCCGGAAGUUCGCGCAGGGUGAGGCUGCACACCAGGUCUGUGGUGUUCAGGUCUCAUCGAAACACUAGCUCCACAGAAAGGGCCGGUGUGGGGGGUGGCACUAUGCCAGGAAGUUCUGCAUAAAGGUUGGGCCAAACCAAACAUCUCAAUG